UACGGAGGAUCCAAGCGUUAUCCGGAUUCAUUGGGUUUAAAGGGUGCGUAGGCGGCUUAUUAAGUCAGUGGUGAAAUCCCGAGGCUCAACUUCGGAACUGCCAUUGAUACUGAUAAGCUUGAGUGUAAAUGAAGUGGGCGGAAUGUGUCGUGUAGCGGUGAAAUGCUUAGAUAUGACACAGAACACCGAUUGCGAAGGCAGCUCACUAAACUACAACUGACGCUGAGGCACGAAAGCGUGGGGAUCAAACAGG
This 253-nucleotide ribosomal RNA is filed under the name uncultured bacterium. RNAcentral describes it as "partial 16S ribosomal RNA". It matches the Rfam family "Bacterial small subunit ribosomal RNA", at positions 524 to 776 of the family's 1533-position model. The record is from RNAcentral.